AUCACGGACAGCUGGUGAUUAAAUUUAGCGGCGUCGAAUUCUCCCUUUUGCCAGCAGCCGCGGGUAAUUCCUGCUCCAAUAACGUAUGUUAAAGUUGUUCUGCUUAAAAAGCUCGUAGUUGAACCUUUGGCCUGGCUGGCCGGUCCGCCUCACCGCGUGUACUGGUCCGGCCUGGCCUUUCCCUCUGUUCAACCCUAUGCCCUUCACUGCGUGUAGCGUGUAAACCGGACUUUUUCUUUACAAAAAUAAAAUGCUCCAAGCAGGACUUUGCUCUUUUUCCUUAAUUGGAAUAAUAAAAUAGAAAAUGGGGGUCUAAACCUGGGUUGAUUUACCGCGGACCCCCCUAUUUAAAACAUUAAAUCUCCUCCUUCUUCAUUCUCCAUAUGUGAAACACUAAAAAACUUAAAAACACCGCCACUGACCACCGACUUCCACGAGUGAUA
This 443-nucleotide ribosomal RNA is filed under the name uncultured fungus. RNAcentral describes it as "partial 18S ribosomal RNA". Lineage: Eukaryota; Fungi. The record is from RNAcentral.